Molecule: transfer RNA, 72 nt
Filed under: Dallia pectoralis (Alaska blackfish)
Lineage: Eukaryota; Metazoa; Chordata; Actinopteri; Esociformes; Umbridae
Description: tRNA-OTHER
Rfam family: tRNA
About the family: Transfer RNA (tRNA) molecules are approximately 80 nucleotides in length. Their secondary structure includes four short double-helical elements and three loops (D, anti-codon, and T loops). Further hydrogen bonds mediate the characteristic L-shaped molecular structure. tRNAs have two regions of fundamental functional importance: the anti-codon, which is responsible for specific mRNA codon recognition, and the 3' end, to which the tRNAs corresponding amino acid is attached (by aminoacyl-tRNA synthetases). tRNAs cope with the degeneracy of the genetic code in two manners: having more than one tRNA (with a specific anti-codon) for a particular amino acid; and 'wobble' base-pairing, i.e. permitting non-standard base-pairing at the 3rd anti-codon position.
Source: RNAcentral
GUUGGUGUAGCUCAGUGGUAGAGUGCACGCUUUGUAUGUGUGAUGUCCUGGGUUCAAUCUCCAGCUUCUCCC